GUGCCAGCAGCCGCGGUAAUACGUAGGUGGCAAGCGUUAUCCGGAAUUAUUGGGCGUAAAGCGCGCGUAGGCGGUUUUUUAAGUCUGAUGUGAAAGCCCACGGCUCAACCGUGGAGGGUCAUUGGAAACUGUAAAACUUGAGUGCAGAAGAGGAAAGUGGAAUUCCAUGUGUAGCGGUGAAAUGCGCAGAGAUAUGGAGGAACACCAGUGGCGAAGGCGACUUUCUGGUCUGUAACUGACGCUGAUGUGCGAAAGCGUGGGGAUCA
Molecule: ribosomal RNA, 266 nt
Filed under: uncultured Staphylococcus sp.
Lineage: Bacteria; Bacillati; Bacillota; Bacilli; Caryophanales; Staphylococcaceae
Description: partial 16S ribosomal RNA
Rfam family: Bacterial small subunit ribosomal RNA
Source: RNAcentral